UAUAUAUAUAUAUAUGUGUGUGUGUGUGUGUGUGUGUCAUGGCGUGAUGGAUUCAAAAGAGGCAUAUACCAUUGAUGAAGUACCUCGGCGCUCACAGUAGAUCUGUCUUUAAAGGUUUAUAAGCUAUUGUUGAAAAUUAACCCUUGUGCGACCUUCGGGACAUUUUUUAUUUUUUCAGUGUUAAUGCCAACGGGAUACAUUUUGCCAAAGGUGUGUAUUUUGGUUGGAAUAUUGAUAUUUCCUUCAGUUCCUAUAACACCUCUAUAACACCUCUAUAACACUGUGUUCACACAAUAGUCACGCUCAACACCUUCAGAACAAAAAUGUCCCAUUGAAAACAACUGCAAUAUUUGAUCCCAACGCCAAUAAAGUAUAAAAUCAUGAAUUCUAUGAUAUAAUACUUUCUUUCCGGAGUCCUGAGUUCAACAUAUAAAUGUUUAGUAUUUUCCACCAGAUGGCGCCAUUUCACUCAUGUUUAUCCUGUGGUGUUGGUGUAGUGGUCUAACCACAUAACUGGUAACUGUAAUCAGCAGGUCACUGGUUCGAUCCCCACAGUCACCACCAUUGUGUCCUUGAGUAAGACACUUAACUCCAGGUUGCUCCGGGGGGAUUGUCCCUGUAAUAAGUGCUCUGUAUAAUACAUUGGUACUCAGAAGGUUGCUGGUUUGAUCCCCACAGUCACCACCAUUGUGUCCUUGAGUAAGACACUUAACUCCAGGUUGUUCCGGGGGGGAUUGUCCCUGUAAUAAGUGCUCUGUAUAAUACAUUGGUACUCAGAAGGUUGCUGGUUCGAUCCCCACAGUCACCACCAUUGUGUCCUUGAGUAAGACACUUAACUCCAGGUUGUUCCGGGGGGGAUUGUCCCUGUAAUAAGUGCUCUGUAUAAUACAUUGGUACUCAGAAGGUUGCUGGUUCGAUCCCCACAGUCACCACCAUUGUGUCCUUGAGUAAGACACUUAACUCCAGGUUGCUCCGGGGGGAUUGUCCCUGUAAUAAGUGCUCUGUAUAAUACAUUGGUACUCAGAAGGUUGCUGGUUCGAUCCCCACAGUCACCACCAUUGUGUCCUUGAGUAAGACACUUAACCCCAGUUGCUCCGGGGGAUUGAUAAAUUAAGUUUCUGCUCAGAAAUGACUAUGUGCUGACUGGACUGGAUGCUUUUUGAUGCAAUUUCCUCUUUGGUUAUUGUCGGGCUCUACAAGGAAAUCAAAUCAAUUUUAAAGUUCAGUUGAUGUGAUUUCACUUCUGUCAAUCAGUGGUGAUUUCCGAUCCAAUUUCCUGUUGAAAAUGAGGUCUUGUGUCCAAACAGGGUGAUCGUAACAUUUGUAUCGAGAACUGAAAUUAUUAGUCACAAAUGUUUCCAGGGUAAAACUGAGAGCUGGAAAAAACACGUUGAUUCUCUGGAAACUUCCUCAUAUGCCGGCGGUCUCUGAGGACACAACAUUCACUAAAUGCAGAUGUGGUUUCAAUCAAAAGGGACUUCACGUUCACAAGUCCAGUGCUAAUGAAAGUAUGCCAAAUCAAAAGCAAUAAAACCACUCUGUGGAGCUCAUUCGCAUGAUGCUUAAUUCUCUCCUCGAAGGAGCAAAAGACAAAAUGAGCCGAUUCCCCAAACAUAAACACACUGUAAGAACACCUGUGGAGCAUCUGGAAUAUGUACAGCAACAUUUCCCAAGAGAAUCAUUCAAAUCCAAAAUACAUCAGAGAAUUUAAACAGAGAUC
This is a long non-coding RNA of Xyrauchen texanus (razorback sucker), 1720 nucleotides long. RefSeq lists it as uncharacterized. NCBI's taxonomy places the organism in Eukaryota, Metazoa, Chordata, Actinopteri, Cypriniformes, Catostomidae. The transcript is spliced from 3 exons. The record is from RefSeq and is a predicted model, not a curated record.